This 266-nucleotide long non-coding RNA is filed under the name Lepisosteus oculatus (spotted gar). RNAcentral's name for it is "lncRNA (ENSLOCG00000022562.1)". Lineage: Eukaryota; Metazoa; Chordata; Actinopteri; Semionotiformes; Lepisosteidae. The record is from RNAcentral.
CUGGUGUCGAUGACGUCAUGUAAACGGGACCAUGCAGGAAGAGUGGGGGAGUUCGAUUCAGACAGAGCUGUACUCCAGACCGGUCAGGGAAUAUCUCGGGUCUGUUCUGGUCUGCAGUGGCUGAGCAGCUGCUGCAGGUCCCCCAGGAGAGCUGCACUGAGGGGGUGAAGAGGGUCCCUCCUGUGGGUGAAGACCCCUGAGCUCCUGUGGGGGGAGAAGCACGUUAUCAGCGCAGCUGUGAGAGGUAAAUAAAGAGCUUAAGGUCU